UUGACGUCACUGAACCCUAAAUCACUAACAGAGGCUAUAUUUAUUCGAUUGGUGACUUAUGGUCGGGUUCUUAUUAACAAACACACUGACUAGAGCGAGUACAUCGAUGUUGAUAUCAACGAUUGUUCAAUCAGUGAUGAUGAAGUUUUGAAGAACGGAUCAAUAGC
This is a long non-coding RNA of Helianthus annuus (common sunflower), 167 nucleotides long. RefSeq lists it as uncharacterized. The transcript has 3 exons. The record is from RefSeq and is a predicted model, not a curated record. Lineage: Eukaryota; Viridiplantae; Streptophyta; Magnoliopsida; Asterales; Asteraceae.